UUCCACCAGCGUGUGCUCCUGAGCCUGCCUUCUUGCACUGAGCACCACACUCCUGAGCCGCGUCCUGGUCUCUGCGUGUAAGGGGGCUCCCCUCCAUCAUUUCCCGCCUCUGCCCUGCCCCCCCAGCAGGGACAUCUGACACCGGUACCGCCCACCAGCUGAUGGACUUCCCGGCAGGCUCCCAGUUCCUUAGUCUGAACCAAGUUUCCAUGAACAAUUACGUACAGGUCUUCCUGGACUUUGGCAGAAAGCAAAUGGAAUCCUGAUCAAGAAAUACAGGAAGUGAAUGAAGAGAAUCAUAAUACAAAUAAUUACAGUGAAAAUCCAUCCUUGGAUCUUCAGCAGGGUGGAGCUCUGUGUUACAGGAUUCCUCACCCGUGAGCCUCAGGCCAGGGUCGACCUGUUUUAUUCCCUUCACUGAUCCAUCCUGCGGCCACAGACACCCGAAAGCAAGGACUUCCGUCCUCCUGUAGAUGGGUGCUGAGCAGCAAGCAGCUUCCAGCUCAAGGGAGCGAGCCAGAAAGUCAGCUGAAGCCAGGGAUCUGCUCCAAGACCAGUCAGCCGCUCUGGGCAUCAAACUCAGGAGUCUGGUUAGCAAGUUAGACCAAGUCCCGUGGAACUGAGUCACGAGGGACCAAGGAUGGCUAUCAUUUGCACCCCCAGAUCAUCGCAAUCCGUCUUCCACCACAUAUGCUCCAAGUCUGGGGAUGUCUCACUCCGCCCUGAUGCCCUGGAGAGAGGCGCCUUCUUGCUGCAUUUUCUUCAUGUUUAGGCAACACAUCCCCCAUUGACUCGAUGA
Callorhinus ursinus (northern fur seal) is the source of this 799-nucleotide non-coding RNA. NCBI's taxonomy places the organism in Eukaryota, Metazoa, Chordata, Mammalia, Carnivora, Otariidae. The record is from RefSeq and is a predicted model, not a curated record.